GUAGGUGGCAAGCGUUGUCCGGAAUUAUUGGGCGUAAAGCGCGCGCAGGCGGUCCUUUAAGUCUGAUGUGAAAGCCCACGGCUCAACCGUGGAGGGUCAUUGGAAACUGGGGGACUUGAGUACAGAAGAGGAAAGCGGAAUUCCAAGUGUAGCGGUGAAAUGCGUAGAGAUUUGGAGGAACACCAGUGGCGAAGGCGGCUUUCUGGUCUGUAACUGACGCUGAGGCGCGAAAGCGUGGGGUAGCAAACAGGGAUUAGAUACCCGUGGUAGUCCACGCCGUAAACGAUGAGUGCUAAGUGUUAGGGGGUUUCCGCCCCCUUAGUGCUGCAGCUAACGCAUUAAGCACUCCGCCUGGGGAUACGGCCGCAAGGCUG
This 374-nucleotide ribosomal RNA is filed under the name uncultured organism. Its description in RNAcentral is "partial 16S ribosomal RNA". It matches the Rfam family "Bacterial small subunit ribosomal RNA", at positions 527 to 896 of the family's 1533-position model. The record is from RNAcentral.